GGCAAUUGGCACAUAUAACCUUCCAAAAGUUUAAAAGUACAAAAAGAAAGACCGAAACAAAAAGAAUGCAACACAAAAGCGAUAUCGUACGCCACACUGUCUGGCAAACCCGAAAACUGGUAACGCGUGUUGUUUAAGGGUCUAUUUUUAUCAAACGGAGGAACUCUUUAGGAAAUGCACAGCGCAGCAACAACCCUACAUGGACCCCGGGCGGUCCGGAACUCUGUCUCACAGCAGAAACCCGGAAGUCUAGUAGCACCUCCGCUUCAGCUGGACGCCGGGUUACCCAGGCCGGCUGCACAACAAGUUAAAUGACCAUUUCAUAUUAAUUGCCUGAAAUCGUAGUUCAUUACGGCCUAGUGCGGAAUACAUUUGUAUGUUUUUA
Long non-coding RNA from Anguilla rostrata (American eel), 385 nucleotides. RefSeq lists it as uncharacterized. NCBI's taxonomy places the organism in Eukaryota, Metazoa, Chordata, Actinopteri, Anguilliformes, Anguillidae. The transcript has 2 exons. The record is from RefSeq and is a predicted model, not a curated record.